UACGGGGGGGGUAAGCGUUGUUCGGAAUUACUGGGCGUAAAGGGCUCGUAGGUGGCCAACUAAGUCAGACGUGAAAUCCCUCGGCUUAACCGGGGAACUGCGUCUGAUACUGGAUGGCUUGAGUUUGGGAGAGGGAUGCGGAAUUCCAGGUGUAGCGGUGAAAUGCGUAGAUAUCUGGAGGAACACCGGUGGCGAAGGCGGCAUCCUGGACCAACACUGACACUGAGUGAGCGAAAGCCAGGGGAGCAAACGGG
Molecule: ribosomal RNA, 254 nt
Filed under: uncultured bacterium
Lineage: Bacteria
Description: partial 16S ribosomal RNA
Rfam family: Bacterial small subunit ribosomal RNA
Source: RNAcentral